UGGGGAAUAUUGCACAAUGGGCGAAAGCCUGAUGCAGCGACGCCGCGUGAGGGCAUGACGGCCUUCGGGUUGUAAACCUCUUUCAGCAGGGAAGAAGCGAAAGUGACGGUACCUGCAGAAGAAGCGCCGGCUAACUACGUGCCAGCAGCCGCGGUAAUACGUAGGGCGCAAGCGUUGUCCGGAAUUAUUGGGCGUAAAGAGCUCGUAGGCGGUUAGUCGCGUCUGCUGUGAAAACUCGAGGCUCAACCUCGGGCUUGCAGUGGGUACGGGCUGACUAGAGUGCGGUAGGGGUGACUGGAAUUCCUGGUGUAGCGGUGGAAUGCGCAGAUAUCAGGAGGAACACCGAUGGCGAAGGCAGGUCACUGGGCCGCAACUGACGCUGAGGAGCGAAAGCAUGGGGAGCGAACAGGAUUAGAUACCCUGGUAGUCCAUGCCGUAAACGUUGGGCACUAGGUGUGGGGUCCAUUCCACGGAUUCCGUGCCGCAGCAAACGCAUUAAGUGCCCCAGCCUGGGGAGUACGGCCGCAAGGCUAAAACUCAAAUGAAUUGACGGGGUCAUAG
This 561-nucleotide ribosomal RNA is filed under the name uncultured bacterium. RNAcentral describes it as "partial 16S ribosomal RNA". It matches the Rfam family "Bacterial small subunit ribosomal RNA", at positions 355 to 924 of the family's 1533-position model. The record is from RNAcentral.